UACGGGGGGGGCAAGCGUUGUUCGGAAUUACUGGGCGUAAAGGGCUCGUAGGCGGUUUGUCGCGUCGGGAGUGAAAACCCAGGGCUUAACCCUGGGCUGGCUUCCGAUACGGGCAGACUAGAGGUAUGCAGGGGAGAACGGAAUUCCUGGUGUAGCGGUGAAAUGCGCAGAUAUCAGGAGGAACACCGGUGGCGAAGGCGGUUCUCUGGGCAUUACCUGACGCUGAGGAGCGAAAGUGUGGGGAGCGAACAGG
RNAcentral lists this ribosomal RNA (253 nucleotides) under uncultured bacterium. RNAcentral describes it as "partial 16S ribosomal RNA". It matches the Rfam family "Bacterial small subunit ribosomal RNA", at positions 524 to 776 of the family's 1533-position model. The record is from RNAcentral.